UGUAGUAGGUCUCCAGUAUAGUCCAAAGUGAGUAUUUUCCUUAAUCAGUCUUCACUGUGGACAGCACUGCAUGUCUGGAACCUGAGAGGAUUAUAAAAAUGCAGUGAGUGAAUUAAGGUCAGGGAACCUGGCA
RNAcentral lists this small nucleolar RNA (133 nucleotides) under Octodon degus (degu). RNAcentral's name for it is "small Cajal body-specific RNA 17 (ENSODEG00000021688.1)". The record is from RNAcentral. Lineage: Eukaryota; Metazoa; Chordata; Mammalia; Rodentia; Octodontidae.